ACGAACGCUGGCGGCGUGCUUAACCCCUGCAAGUCGAACGGAAAGGCCCUGCUUUUGUGGGGUGCUCGAGUGGCGAACGGGUGAGUAACACGUAAGUAACCUGCCCUUGACUUUGGGAUAACUUCAGGAAACUGGGGCUAAUACCGGAUAGGAGCUCCUGCUGCAUGGUGGGGGUUGGAAAGUUUCGGCGGUUGGGGAUGGACUCGCGGCUUAUCAGCUUGUUGGUGGGGUAGUGGCUUACCAAGGCUUUGACGGGUAGCCGGCCUGAGAGGGUGACCGGCCACCUUGCGCCUGAGGUACGGCCCAGACUCCUACGGGAGGCAGCAGUGGGGAGUAUUGCACAGUGGGCGGACGCCUGAUGCAGCAGCGCCGCGUGCGGGAUGACGGCCUUCGGGUUGUAAACCGCUUUCGCCUGUGACGAAGCGUGAGUGACGGUAAUGGGUAAAGAAGCACCGGCUAACUACGUG
Molecule: ribosomal RNA, 467 nt
Filed under: uncultured bacterium
Lineage: Bacteria
Description: partial 16S ribosomal RNA
Rfam family: Bacterial small subunit ribosomal RNA
Source: RNAcentral